GGGGAAUCUUGGACAAUGGGCGCAAGCCUGAUCCAGCCAUGCCGCGUGAGUGAAGAAGGCCUUAGGGUUGUAAAACUCUUUCGCCGGAGAAGAUAAUGACGGUAUCCGGAGAAGAAGCCCCGGCUAACUUCGUGCCAGCAGCCGCGGUAAUACGAAGGGGGCUAGCGUUGUUCGGAAUUACUGGGCGUAAAGCGCACGUAGGCGGGUUUGUAAGUAGGGGGUGAAAUCCCAGGGCUCAACCCUGGAACUGCCUUCUAAACUGCAAGCCUGGAGGUCAGGAGAGGCGAGUGGAAUACCGAGUGUAGAGGUGAAAUUCGUAGAUAUUCGGUGGAACACCAGUGGCGAAGGCGACUCGCUGGACUGAUACUGACGCUGAGGUGCGAAAGCGUGGGGAGCAAAC
RNAcentral lists this ribosomal RNA (400 nucleotides) under uncultured bacterium. RNAcentral describes it as "bacterial SSU rRNA". It matches the Rfam family "Bacterial small subunit ribosomal RNA", at positions 356 to 773 of the family's 1533-position model. The record is from RNAcentral.